CUUCUCUCUCUAACUCCUAAAUCUUACCAAAAUUCUGAAUUUUUCGUUGCUGUAUCAACUUUAGGCGGUUAUACUGAAGAAUUUCUUGUUAAAUUGUUAGUUUUUUCACAAAAUUUGGUUCAAAAUUGUCCAUUUUUGUUAACUUUGACUGAUGGAAUCAAAAGGGUCGGCGAAAUGGAUGGCGCCGGGGUUCAGAUUUCAUCCGACGGAUGAAGAAUUGGUUAGGUACUAUCUCCGCCGGAAAAUCUAUGGAAGGACGUUUAAGUCUGAUCUUAUAUCGGAGAUUGAUAUUUACAAGGUUGAACCAUGGGAUCUUCCUGGCAUGUCAAGGCUGAAGACAAGAGAUUUGGAGUGGUAUUUCUUUAGUGUUCUUGAUAAGAAGUAUGGCAAUGGAGCAAGAACCAACCGAGCAACAGAAAAAGGCUACUGGAAGACAACCGGAAAGGAUAGGGCUGUCCAUCGUAAUAAGUCUCAGGUUGUUGGGAUGAAGAAGACUUUAGUUUAUCACAGUGGUCGUGCUCCAAAGGGUCAGAGAACUAAUUGGGUGAUGCAUGAGUACAGAUUGAUUGAUGAGGCAUUAGAUAAAGCUGGAAUUCCUCAGGAUGCAUUUGUUUUAUGCAGAGUCUUCCAGAAGAGUGGUGCAGGGCCGAAGAAUGGGGAACAGUAUGGGGCACCUUUUAUAGAGGAGGAAUGGGAGGAUGAUGAGUUACAAGUUCCUUCGAAGGAUGAGACUACUGAGGAUUUUGUAUUUGGUGAUGAUAUAUAUUUUGAUGCAAAUGAACUUGACCAGAUUCUUGGGACCGACAAAGCUGUGGCUGGUGCUUCUUUUCCUUCGGAUUAUUCUUAUGGUGAAAAUGGAAGUACGGAGGAGACAAAUAACUCCUCUGAUGCACAGCAACCUGACGAGCUUAAACCAAUUGAUCUAGCUGUUCAAAAGAAUUUUAAUGCUGAGCAAGUCAAUCAUGAAUAUAUUGGUGAAUCAAGCAAGAACAUGAACUCUGAAGAUGGGGAUUACUUGCUUAAUGAACCAAUUGUAAAUGGGACUGAUGACCUCCAAUUUAAUGAUGAAGCUUUCCUCGAAGCUAAUGAUCUUUCAAAUCCCGUUCAGGCUGACAGCUCUGGUUUCGACAUGCUUGAGGAAUACCUUACUUACUUUGAUGCAAAUGACGACUUUCAGAAUAUGAGUUUUGAUCCUUCAGUUUUCUUUGGAAAUGAUGAUCAAAUUUCUGAUCAAGCACUGCUGCCUCAGAAGGACGUUGGGGAGGUAACUCAGCAACCUAUUGCGCCCAAUGAAGGGUUUAGUGAAGAUAAGAAUGGUAUUGCAUCGUCCUCCAAACUGGUACCAACUAAAUUUGAAUCAGAUUAUCAGUAUCCAUUUAUAAAGCAGGCAAGCCAGAUGUUGGGCAAUAUUCACGCUCCUCCAGCAUUUGCUUCAGAGUUCCCUACAAAAGAUGCAAUUCUCCGUCUGAACUCAUUCUCUCGGUCAGCUAGUUCAGUUCAGGUCACUGCUGGCAAUGGGACGAGAUGGCCAUUGGGCAAGCAUGUGUAUUACAACAUUAUCCUAUCUCUUGGCCUAUCACGGGGUAGUAGUGAUGACUCUUCCAUGGAUUCAUUUCAUAAGAUUCAUCCAGGAAAGACUACUUCGACGAUUUCCAGAGGCUGGUUCUGUUAUCUAUUCUUUUCGUUCCUAAUGCUUUUGAUGAGCCUCAGAAUUGGAACCAUAAUCUGUGCCAGUUAAGGUUUCAGCACUCACUAAAGGAUAACUUGAUCACCAAAGCUCAAGGUGGAUAUGUUAUCAUACAUACUCUGGUCUAUUAUUUCAUCUCAAUUAAGACUUUGAUACAUUAGAUUUUUUUUUGUGUUGGACCAAG
RNAcentral lists this unclassified non-coding RNA (1871 nucleotides) under Hevea brasiliensis (rubber tree). The record is from RNAcentral. Lineage: Eukaryota; Viridiplantae; Streptophyta; Magnoliopsida; Malpighiales; Euphorbiaceae.